Pseudomonas sp. is the source of this 52-nucleotide non-coding RNA. NCBI's taxonomy places the organism in Bacteria, Pseudomonadati, Pseudomonadota, Gammaproteobacteria, Pseudomonadales, Pseudomonadaceae. The record is from Rfam.
AAGUGAUACCGGGCCCCUCUGACGGUUGCCAGCCGCCAUGUCGGAUCACUGU